Molecule: ribosomal RNA, 253 nt
Filed under: uncultured bacterium
Lineage: Bacteria
Description: partial 16S ribosomal RNA
Rfam family: Bacterial small subunit ribosomal RNA
Source: RNAcentral
UACGGGAGGGGCUAGUGUUACUCGUCAUGAUUGGGCGUAAAGGGUCUGUAGGCGGUUUUUUAAGUUGAAAGUUAAAUCACAAAUUUAAGUUUGUUUCUGCUUUCAAUACUAUUAAACUAGAGUAUCAUUAGGGGUAGUGGAACUUUUAAUGGAGAGAUAAAAUUUUGAGAUAUUAGAGGGAACACCAGAGGCGAAGGCGACUAUCUGGAUGAUUAACUGACGCUGAGGGACGAAAGCAUGGGGAUCAAACAGG